Molecule: unclassified non-coding RNA, 336 nt
Filed under: Shimia sagamensis
Lineage: Bacteria; Pseudomonadati; Pseudomonadota; Alphaproteobacteria; Rhodobacterales; Roseobacteraceae
Description: Long range pseudoknot
Source: RNAcentral
ACGGAUACGCAUGACUACGAAGUCAAAAUGCGCAACGUGUACAAGUUCCUAGAGAACGGCGACAAAGUCAAAGUGACCUUACGCUUCCGUGGACGCGAAAUGGCGCACCAAAACUUGGGCCGCGAGCUUCUUGAACGUGUGGCAGCGGACACCAAAGAGAUGGGCAAAGUUGAAAACAUGCCCAAAAUGGAAGGCCGCCAAAUGAUCAUGCUGAUCGGCCCCCUGCCCAAGUAAAGCUUGGCAAACCAUUGAAUUCUAAGAAACCCCGCCAUCUCGCGGGGUUUUUUCUUGGAAACGUGCCGCAGGCAACAAAAGCCCCAAUCCUAGGAUCGGGGC